UUAAGUUAUUAAGGGCGCACGGUGGAUGCCUUGGCACUAGAAGCCGAUGAAGGACGUUACUAACGACGAUAUGCUUUGGGGAGCUGUAAGUAAGCUUUGAUCCAGAGAUUUCCGAAUGGGGAAACCCAGCAUGAGUUAUGUCAUGUUAUCGAUAUGUGAAUACAUAGCAUAUCAGAAGGCACACCCGGAGAACUGAAACAUCUUAGUACCCGGAGGAAGAGAAAGAAAAUUCGAUUCCCUUAGUAGCGGCGAGCGAAAUGGGAAGAGCCCAAACCAACAAGCUUGCUUGUUGGGGUUGUAGGACACUCUAUACGGAGUUACAAAGGACGACAUUAGACGAAUCAUCUGGAAAGAUGAAUCAAAGAAGGUAAUAAUCCUGUAGUCGAAAAUGUUGUCUCUCUUGAGUGGAUCCUGAGUACGACGGAGCACGUGAAAUUCCGUCGGAAUCUGGGAGGACCAUCUCCUAAGGCUAAAUACUCUCUAGUGACCGAUAGUGAACCAGUACCGUGAGGGAAAGGUGAAAAGCACCCCGGAAGGGGAGUGAAAUAGAACCUGAAACCGUGUGCUUACAAGUAGUCAGAGCCCGUUAAUGGGUGAUGGCGUGCCUUUUGUAGAAUGAACCGGCGAGUUACGAUUUGAUGCAAGGUUAAGCAGUAAAUGUGGAGCCGUAGCGAAAGCGAGUCUGAAUAGGGCGUUUAGUAUUUGGUCGUAGACCCGAAACCAGGUGAUCUACCCUUGGUCAGGUUGAAGUUCAGGUAACACUGAAUGGAGGACCGAACCGACUUACGUUGAAAAGUGAGCGGAUGAACUGAGGGUAGCGGAGAAAUUCCAAUCGAACCUGGAGAUAGCUGGUUCUCUCCGAAAUAGCUUUAGGGCUAGCCUCAAGUGAUGAUUAUUGGAGGUAGAGCACUGUUUGGACGAGGGGCCCCUCUCGGGUUACCGAAUUCAGACAAACUCCGAAUGCCAAUUAAUUUAACUUGGGAGUCAGAACAUGGGUGAUAAGGUCCGUGUUCGAAAGGGAAACAGCCCAGACCACCAGCUAAGGUCCCAAAAUAUAUGUUAAGUGGAAAAGGAUGUGGCGUUGCCCAGACAACUAGGAUGUUGGCUUAGAAGCAGCCAUCAUUUAAAGAGUGCGUAAUAGCUCACUAGUCGAGUGACACUGCGCCGAAAAUGUACCGGGGCUAAACAUAUUACCGAAGCUGUGGAUUGUCCUUUGGACAAUGGUAGGAGAGCGUUCUAAGGGCGUUGAAGCAUGAUCGUAAGGACAUGUGGAGCGCUUAGAAGUGAGAAUGCCGGUGUGAGUAGCGAAAGACGGGUGAGAAUCCCGUCCACCGAUUGACUAAGGUUUCCAGAGGAAGGCUCGUCCGCUCUGGGUUAGUCGGGUCCUAAGCUGAGGCCGACAGGCGUAGGCGAUGGAUAACAGGUUGAUAUUCCUGUACCACCUAUAAUCGUUUUAAUCGAUGGGGGGACGCAGUAGGAUAGGCGAAGCGUGCGAUUGGAUUGCACGUCUAAGCAGUAAGGCUGAGUAUUAGGCAAAUCCGGUACUCGUUAAGGCUGAGCUGUGAUGGGGAGAAGACAUUGUGUCUUCGAGUCGUUGAUUUCACACUGCCGAGAAAAGCCUCUAGAUAGAAAAUAGGUGCCCGUACCGCAAACCGACACAGGUAGUCAAGAUGAGAAUUCUAAGGUGAGCGAGCGAACUCUCGUUAAGGAACUCGGCAAAAUGACCCCGUAACUUCGGGAGAAGGGGUGCUCUUUAGGGUUAACGCCCAGAAGAGCCGCAGUGAAUAGGCCCAAGCGACUGUUUAUCAAAAACACAGGUCUCUGCUAAACCGUAAGGUGAUGUAUAGGGGCUGACGCCUGCCCGGUGCUGGAAGGUUAAGAGGAGUGGUUAGCUUCUGCGAAGCUACGAAUCGAAGCCCCAGUAAACGGCGGCCGUAACUAUAACGGUCCUAAGGUAGCGAAAUUCCUUGUCGGGUAAGUUCCGACCCGCACGAAAGGCGUAACGAUUUGGGCACUGUCUCAACGAGAGACUCGGUGAAAUCAUAGUACCUGUGAAGAUGCAGGUUACCCGCGACAGGACGGAAAGACCCCGUGGAGCUUUACUGUAGCCUGAUAUUGAAAUUCGGCACAGCUUGUACAGGAUAGGUAGGAGCCUUUGAAACGUGAGCGCUAGCUUACGUGGAGGCGCUGGUGGGAUACUACCCUAGCUGUGUUGGCUUUCUAACCCGCACCACUUAUCGUGGUGGGAGACAGUGUCAGGCGGGCAGUUUGACUGGGGCGGUCGCCUCCUAAAAGG
This 2296-nucleotide ribosomal RNA is filed under the name Staphylococcus aureus. RNAcentral describes it as "bacterial LSU rRNA". It matches the Rfam family "Bacterial large subunit ribosomal RNA", at positions 3 to 2297 of the family's 2925-position model. The record is from RNAcentral. Lineage: Bacteria; Bacillati; Bacillota; Bacilli; Caryophanales; Staphylococcaceae.